CCUACGGGGGGCUGCAGUGGGGAAUAUUGCACAAUGGGGGAAACCCUGAUGCAGCGACGCCGCGUGAGUGAAGAAGUAUUUCGGUAUGUAAAGCUCUAUCAGCAGGGAAGAAAUAGCGACCUUUGGGUCGCCAGACGGUACCUGACUAAGAAGCCCCGGCUAACUACGUGCCAGCAGCCGCGGUAAUACGUAGGGGGCAAGCGGUAUCCGGAUUUAAUGGGUGGAAAGGGAGCGUAGACGGCAGCACAAGUACUAAGUGAAAUGCCGGGGCUUAACCCCGGAACUGCUUUGGAAACUGUGCAGCUAGAGUGCAUGAGAGGUAAGUGGAAUUCCUAGUGUAGCGGUGAAAUGCGUAGAUAUUAGGAGGAACACCAGUGGCGAAGGCGGCUUACUGGACUGUAACUGACGUUGAGGCUCGAAAGCGUGGGGAGCAAACAGGAUUAGAUACCCGUGUAGUC
This 458-nucleotide ribosomal RNA is filed under the name uncultured bacterium. Its description in RNAcentral is "partial 16S ribosomal RNA". It matches the Rfam family "Bacterial small subunit ribosomal RNA", at positions 338 to 795 of the family's 1533-position model. The record is from RNAcentral.